AUUGAACGCUGGCGGCAAGCCUAACACAUGCAAGUCGAACGAGUGGCGGACGGGUGAGUAAUGUCUGGGAAACUGCCUGAUGGAGGGGGAUAACUACUGGAAACGGUAGCUAAUACCGCAUCCCAUCGGAUGUGCCCAGUUGGGAUUAGCUAGUAGGCGGGGUAAAGGCUCACCUAGGCGACGAUCCCUAGCUGGUCUGAGAGGAUGACCAGCCACACCGGAACUGAGACACGGGCCAGACUCCUACGGGAGGCAGGAGUGGGGAAUAUUGCACAAGGGGCGAAAGCCUGAUGCAGACAUGCCGCGUGUAUGAAGAAGGCCUUCGGGUUGUAAAGUACUUUCAGCGGGGAGGCGUUACCCGCAGACGAAGCACCGGCUAACUCCGUGCCAGCAGCCGCGGUAAUUC
This 406-nucleotide ribosomal RNA is filed under the name uncultured bacterium. RNAcentral's name for it is "partial 16S ribosomal RNA". It matches the Rfam family "Bacterial small subunit ribosomal RNA", at positions 30 to 526 of the family's 1533-position model. The record is from RNAcentral.